This 853-nucleotide ribosomal RNA is filed under the name Acrogenospora sp. JY-2023a. RNAcentral's name for it is "partial large subunit ribosomal RNA". It matches the Rfam family "Eukaryotic large subunit ribosomal RNA", at positions 77 to 946 of the family's 3401-position model. Lineage: Eukaryota; Fungi; Ascomycota; Dothideomycetes; Minutisphaerales; Acrogenosporaceae. The record is from RNAcentral.
GCCUCAGUAACGGCGAGUGAAGCGGCAACAGCUCAAAUUUGAAAUCCGGCUCCUGUGGGAGCCCGAGUUGUAAUUUGGAGAGGAUGCUUCGGCUGAGGCCCUGGUCUAAGUUCCUUGGAACAGGACGUCACAGAGGGUGAGAACCCCGUAUGUGGUCAGGGAUCGACGCCAUGUGAAGCUCCUUCGACGAGUCGAGUUGUUUGGGAAUGCAGCUCUAAAUGGGAGGUAUAUUUCUUCUAAAGCUAAAUACCGGCGAGAGACCGAUAGCGCACAAGUAGAGUGAUCGAAAGAUGAAAAGCACUUUGGAAAGAGAGUUAAAAAGUACGUGAAAUUGUUGAAAGGGAAGCGCUUGCAACCAGAUAUGCGCGCAGUUGUUUAGCCGGGCUUCCUGCCCGGUGCACUCUUCUGCGUGCAUGCCAGCAUCGGUUUGGGCGGCCAGAUAAAGGCCGUGGGAAUGUAGCUCCUCUCGGGGAGUGUUAUAGCCCACGGCGGAAUGUGGCCAGCCUAGACCGAGGUCCGCGCUUCGGCUAGGAUGCUGGCGUAAUGGUUUUAAGCGGCCCGUCUUGAAACACGGACCAAGGAGUCUAACAUCUAUGCGAGUGUUUGGGUGCGAAACCCAUGCGCGUAAUGAAAGUGAACGGAGGUGGGAGCCCUCACGGGCGCACCAUCGACCGAUCCUGAUGUCUUCGGAUGGAUUUGAGUAAGAGCAUAGCUGUUGGGACCCGAAAGAUGGUGAACUAUGCCUGAAUAGGGUGAAGCCAGAGGAAACUCUGGUGGAGGCUCGCAGCGGUUCUGACGUGCAAAUCGAUCGUCAAAUUUGGGUAUAGGGGCGAAAGACUAAUCGAACCUUUUA